Vicia faba (fava bean) is the source of this 183-nucleotide non-coding RNA. Lineage: Eukaryota; Viridiplantae; Streptophyta; Magnoliopsida; Fabales; Fabaceae. The record is from the annotation of a GenBank genome assembly.
AUGGUGUGCAAAGUUUCAUUUCAAAUAGGGGAUGAUUCAAAACACACCAAAGGUAGAACUAGUGCAAGUUGCAAAAUCAUACUAAUAAAGUUUCAAGCUCAUUCUACAUCAAAACAUACAUACCACUUGAGAUUUUCUAUUGAUUUAGUCCAUGACAAUGCCAAAGCAAUGCCCUGCUAUUAA